AUACGUAGGGGGCUAGCGUUAUCCGGAAUUACUGGGCGUAAAGGGUGCGUAGGUGGUUUCUUAAGUCAGAAGUGAAAGGCUACGGCUCAACCGUAGUAAGCUUUUGAAACUAAGAGACUUGAGUGCAGGAGAGGAGAGUAGAAUUCCUAGUGUAGCGGUGAAAUGCGUAGAUAUUAGGAGGAAUACCAGUUGCGAAGGCGGCUCUCUGGACUGUAACUGACACUGAGGCACGAAAGCGUGGGGAGCAAACAGGAUUAGAUACCCUGGUAGUCCACGCCGUAAACGAUGAGUACUAGCUGUCGGGGGUUACCCCCCUCGGUGGCGCAGCUAACGCAUUAAGUACUCCGCCUGGGAAGUACGCUCGCAAGAGUGAAACUCAAAUGAAUUGACGGGG
This 394-nucleotide ribosomal RNA is filed under the name uncultured bacterium. Its description in RNAcentral is "partial 16S ribosomal RNA". It matches the Rfam family "Bacterial small subunit ribosomal RNA", at positions 523 to 918 of the family's 1533-position model. The record is from RNAcentral.